GUGGCUGUAGUAUAAACUUACAUUAAUUUUUCAUAUUAAAAAUUCAGACCAUCUGACUCCCACU
This 64-nucleotide transfer RNA is filed under the name Euthalenessa festiva. Its description in RNAcentral is "tRNA-Glu". The record is from RNAcentral. Lineage: Eukaryota; Metazoa; Annelida; Polychaeta; Phyllodocida; Sigalionidae.